UACGUAGGUGGCAAGCGUUGUCCGGAUUUACUGGGUGUAAAGGGCGUGCAGCCGGGCUGACAAGUCAGAUGUGAAAUCCCGCGGCUCAACCGCGGAACUGCAUUUGAAACUGUCAGUCUUGAGUACCGGAGAGGUCAUCGGAAUUCCUUGUGUAGCGGUGAAAUGCGUAGAUAUGAGGAAGAACACCAGUGGCGAAGGCGGAUGACUGGACGGCAACUGACGGUGAGGCGCGAAAGCGUGGGGAGCAAACAGG
RNAcentral lists this ribosomal RNA (253 nucleotides) under uncultured bacterium. Its description in RNAcentral is "partial 16S ribosomal RNA". It matches the Rfam family "Bacterial small subunit ribosomal RNA", at positions 524 to 776 of the family's 1533-position model. The record is from RNAcentral.